This 2321-nucleotide ribosomal RNA is filed under the name Triticum aestivum (bread wheat). Its description in RNAcentral is "partial small subunit ribosomal RNA". The record is from RNAcentral. Lineage: Eukaryota; Viridiplantae; Streptophyta; Magnoliopsida; Poales; Poaceae.
GAGUUACGGACCGACAGGACUUUCGCUUCAGCGUUCACCCUCGAUACCUCAGGUCGAUCGUGGCGGGCAGUAGUGCAUGCGAUGUGGAGGGGUAUAGGUGCUCUUCAGGUUAGUCGCCGAGGUAAUCAUGAUGAUUAGUGGCCAACGAAGGAGGCAUCGAUCGAGGGCAGGUGGACUAGACGGAACGGACGGAUGAGGUGACUAAUCAAUUUCGGUUACUUAUCGUAAGGAGGCUCCCAUGAUAUUCACGAGCGCCAGCAGCAGCAGCAGCAGGGGUAGGGGAGAGAAGAGAUAUCGAAUGAUCGUCGUCGCGAGAGAAGAACGAGAAGCGAUAGAUCGAGGUGAAACGAGCAACAGGAGAGGGAGAACCUAGCUAGGCCGGAAGCCGCCGGUACUUAACGCGGCCCCAGCGGCUACCCAACGGACGUCCGCUCGGCCUAUGGCCGCAGCAGCUGGUCGGUGCCUCCUCCUCGACGGACAUCGCAUCGACUCGAUAUCACGAGCCAGCUAGACGACGAAGAACCCCCGCUCCUUCUUCUUAUUGGCUCCGAAUGAGAGCUGCUGUCGUGUUCCGCCUCGGUCUAUUAAAGGCCACUGCGUGUGGUACCUAGGGGUCUGUAAACACUCCGAGAGUCAGCCCGUCGAACCGGACUCCGAGGGGCCGCGUUCACGGUCUUUCCGAACGGUGACGCUCUAGGCCGAGGCUCCGAAGGGCCAAGUCAAUCGAGGCCACGGAGACCUUUUAAGAAGUCUCAAAGUAGAACUAGGCGUGCGCUUACGCCGCCACAAGAGGGACCUGCUCGGGCCGGAGUUCCGCGACGGCUGCAGCUCCACCAAGGCUUGGGGCCUCGGCGGCAUGGAGCUCUAGCAACACAUGCACUCGUCCGCGCUGCCGCCGCCCGUAACGCAGCCCAACUUCGCCGCCGACCAGCCCCGACAGUCCCACCUACAGCCCGGCCUCACCGCGCUGCCGUUCGGACACGACGAAGCGGUACCGACCUGCCCGUAGCCGUCCCGCCGCCUCGACGUGCACUCUCACUCCCACCUCCGACUGGGAGCCAUGCACAAGGCCAAGCUCCUGCUCCAGCGCGACUUGGGCGUCCACCAGGUCGAGGUACCGCCGCGGUCGGUCGGGUAGAAAUCGACGUUCAAGUAGGCGCUGCACUCCGCCCGCAGCGUCGGCCUAGUAAACCCGCCCUUCAUAACCAGCUCGAGGCCUUCGCCGCUUCUCUUCCUCUGCCUCUACCGCCCCUCCUCCUCCCUCUCCUUCCCGACCUUCCACCGCUAGGUGCUGGACAGGCCGAGGCGGCACCGGCGCCGCAAGUACCGGUGCGGCAAGCACGGCCGCUGCCCGAGGCUGUGCCACCGCGCCAGGUUGGGUCCGCGCACCGAGUAGCAGGCGCGGCUGUGUUGCCCUAGCAGCCUCUCGACCGUCGGCACCCCGGCCGACCUCCGCACCGCCCUCACGCGACGCGGCCGCCCGCCGUUCCUGCGGCACACGGAAGCCGACGUAGAGGAGGGCCUCGCCGCCCUGCGCACGCAUGAGCACAGGCUCUGCGGAGACUCGACACUAUUCCCGCCCCUCAAGAGGUAGCUGUACCUGUCUGUCAGCUAGGAGGGCCUCCUGCGUCACCGCAGCCUCUGCUGCAGCAGCAGCAUGACGCGUCGCUCGUACCCUGUCAGCACGCGCCCGCCGCCGAAGCACUACUCGACGUCGCACGUCCCGCUCCGCCGCUGCUCGUCGUCCGGCGGCGACCACGUGGAGCGGCGCGCCGUGCAGUACACGUACCUUCUGCGUCGGUACAAGGAGCGCGAACGCCGACGGCAGCUGGAGUCACAGUUCCGCACGGCCGGCAAGGCCUCGUUCUGCCGCCGCCGAUUCUUCUUCUGCCGACGACCGAGGAGAAGGGGGCUAGGGGACCUCGAGCUGUGCAUCUAAUCGAUCUCGAUCGUCAGGAGUGAGGAGUCAGUUCGUAGUCUAGUAGGUACCAGUGAGACAUUUAGGUGAACAAAGCUGGUUUGAACAACUUUUGAGAUGGUCAAAAAAGAUCCGGAUUGGACAUCUGUGCUACUGCUAAGUUAGUGCGGGGGUGUGCUGCUCCGUGUCUCCUGGGUCCAGUUGAGGUUGUGUGCUGGGCUCGCUUGCAGUUAAAACAUACCUAAAACAUAUAAAUCCAGCCCAUUCCUCGACACAGGCCGUAAACAUAUAAACGCGACCCAAAGGCCGUAAACAUGUAAACGUGACCGGCACGCGGGUUGACUGAUUACCUAAAAGCAGACCGGCGCAUUACAAAACGUUUCUUUUAUCUUAGUCUUUAAAU